This 324-nucleotide ribosomal RNA is filed under the name uncultured eukaryote. RNAcentral describes it as "partial 18S ribosomal RNA". It matches the Rfam family "Eukaryotic small subunit ribosomal RNA", at positions 1470 to 1796 of the family's 1831-position model. The record is from RNAcentral.
CCCUUAGAUGUUCUGGGCCGCACGCGCGCUACACUGACGGAGUCAACGAGUUGUCCUGCAUCGGAAGGUGUGGGUAAUCUUUUGAAACUUCGUCGUGCUGGGGAUAGAUCUUUGCAAUUUUCGAUCUUGAACGAGGAAUUCCUAGUAAGCGUGAUUCAUCAGAUCGCGUUGAUUACGUCCCUGCCCUUUGUACACACCGCCCGUCGCUACUACCGAUUGAAUGGUUUAGUGAGGCCUCGGGACUGGCGCGCUCGAGUAGCAAUACACCUGCGCGCCGGGAACUUGGUCAAACUUGNUNAUUUAUNGGAAGUAAAANUCGUANCA